UUCGGAGGGAACGCGGCGCGC
RNAcentral lists this unclassified non-coding RNA (21 nucleotides) under Chlamydomonas reinhardtii. RNAcentral's name for it is "small RNA Cre_3828". The record is from RNAcentral. Lineage: Eukaryota; Viridiplantae; Chlorophyta; Chlorophyceae; Chlamydomonadales; Chlamydomonadaceae.